This 253-nucleotide ribosomal RNA is filed under the name uncultured bacterium. RNAcentral describes it as "partial 16S ribosomal RNA". It matches the Rfam family "Bacterial small subunit ribosomal RNA", at positions 524 to 776 of the family's 1533-position model. The record is from RNAcentral.
UAUGAAGGGGACUAGCGUUGUUCGGAAUCACUGGGCGUAAAGCGCACGUAGGCGGAUAUUUAAGUCAGGGGUGAAAUCCCAGAGCUCAACUCUGGAACUGCCUUUGAUACUGGGUAUCUCGAGUAUGGAAGAGGUGAGUGGAAUUCCGAGUGUAGAGGUGAAAUUCGUAGAUAUUCGGAGGAACACCAGUGGCGAAGGCGGCUCACUGGGCUGGUACUGACGCUGAGGAGCGAAAGCGUGGGUAGCGAACAGG